This 264-nucleotide long non-coding RNA is filed under the name Setaria viridis. RNAcentral describes it as "long non-coding RNA (SVIR_LNC006956)". The record is from RNAcentral. Lineage: Eukaryota; Viridiplantae; Streptophyta; Magnoliopsida; Poales; Poaceae.
UUGGGGUUGGCAGGGGUCGGAACUGAGGAAACGGCGGAGAGGGGUCGGAUCUCAAGGGUCGGGACCGGGACUGGAGGUUGAGCACUUGAACUCAGUAAAGCUGAGACAGGGAGAUUAGGGACUCGGAUUAAGAUUAACUCGAGAGAUUUGGGGUCGGUCGUCACAGCCUACCCCCUUAAAAGGAAUCUCGUCCCGAGAUUCAGGUGUAAGAGUAACUACUGGGGGUGCACAGUCCUUACCUCCUUGACGAGAAAGAAAACCUUG